RNAcentral lists this ribosomal RNA (1380 nucleotides) under Triticum aestivum (bread wheat). RNAcentral's name for it is "partial small subunit ribosomal RNA". Lineage: Eukaryota; Viridiplantae; Streptophyta; Magnoliopsida; Poales; Poaceae. The record is from RNAcentral.
AUGGACGGCUCCCCCAGCCUCCCCCUCCCGCUCCCGCUCCCGCGCCCGCGCCCCGCCCAGCGCCCCCCGCUCCCGCCGCAGGUCUUCCUCCGAUGCCCCGCGCCGCCGCGGGGCGCCGUCCCCGCCGCGCCGCCGCACGUGCACUACUUCCGCGCCCCGUCGCCCAUCCCCGUCUACUCCCCGCGGCUCCCCGGGCCCCGCUACAUCGCCGCCCGGCCCCCUCCCGCGCCCGCUGCUGCCGCCGCGGCGCCCCCGCGGCCGCCCCAGGCCUCCCCCGCGCAGCUGCCGCAUCCGAGGCCGCCGCAGCCGGUGUACGAGAACGUCGUGCCGCCGGCCAGGAGGAGAGGGAGGCCCAAGUCCAAGGCGCCGGAAAAUGAGCAGAAAAUUGAAAUAGAAAAUGCCCAGUCUGAAGUUGGGAAGGGAGAGAUUAGUCAAGGGCAUCAUAAGGAGAGUACCACUGGACCAACAAAAGGUAUCAAGCGAGCAAGAAAACCACAUGGAUCAAUUGAAGGAGAUGCAGCAAACAACUGCCGCUAUGACAGUUCACUAGGUCUGCUGACAAAGAAAUUCAUCAACCUGCUUAAAGGAGCAGAAGAUGGAACCCUUGAUUUAAAUAAAGCAGUUGAGAUACUGGAGGUGCAAAAGCGGAGGAUAUAUGAUAUAACAAAUGUCCUGGAAGGUGUAGAUUUAAUUGAAAAGGGCCUGAAGAAUACGAUUCGUUGGAAGGGAUUUGACAUGUUACUGCCUAAGGAGGUGGAGCUCCAAACUUCUGCAUUGAAGGAGGAACUAGACUCAUCACAUGAUGAAGAAUGCAGGUUGGAUGAGGAAAUACGAGAAGCACAAGAGAAACUGCUGGCGCUCAAACUAAAUAAGGACAAAAAAAAGUGGUUGUAUCUUUCCAAGGAAGAUAUUUGUGAGAUUCCUCACUUACAGGGAUCCACUCGUAUUGCAAUACAUGCUCCUCAUGGAACCUGUGUUGAGGUUCCAGAUCCUAAUGCGGAUAUGGACAUCUGCAAGGACCUGGAAUCUCAAGAAAAGCAUUACCAGCUUCUCUUGAGAAGUUCAAUGGGUCCCAUUGAUUGCUAUUUGAUAAGUGACCAUCAGGGGGUAUCCGACCCAGAGCAGGUGGCACAAGACAAUUUGGAUCAUGCAUCCACAGCUGGAGGUUCAGAUGCUCCAAGGCCGGUGGAUGAUCAUCCAAGUCAAGCUCCCGAAAAGGGAGAGGGCGACACUGUCGGCAAGCAUACAUCGGAACCAUCCAGUACACAUGAACGGAUGCCUGGCAUUCUGAAAAUCGUACUGCCAGAUACUGAUCGUGAUGCUGAUUACUGGCUCGCAUCUGACGUUGACGCUACCAUGACUGAAACAUGGGCCACUUAG